CCUACGGGAGGCAGCAGUAGGGAAUCUUCCACAAUGGGCGAAAGCCUGAUGGAGCCACGCCGCGUGGGUGAAGACGGUCUUCGGAUCGUAAAACCCUGUUGUUAGAGAAGAAAGUGCGUGAGAGUAACUGUUCACGUUUCGACGGUAUCUAACCAGAAAGCCACGGCUAACUAUGUGCCAGCAGCCGCGGUAAUACGUAGGUGGCAAGCGUUAUCCGGAUUUAUUGGGCGUAAAGGGAACGCAGGCGGUCUUUUAAGUCUGAUGUGAAAGCCUUCGGCUUAACCGGAGUAGUGCAUUGGAUACUGGGAGUCUGGAGUGCAGAAGAGGUAGGUGGAACUCCAUGUGUAGCGGUGAAAUGCUUAGAUAUAAGGAAGAACCCCAGUGGCGAAGGCGGCUCUCUGGUCUGUAACUGACGCUGAUGCACGAAAGCGUGGGGAUCAAACAGGAUUAGAUACCCCAGUAGUC
This 465-nucleotide ribosomal RNA is filed under the name uncultured bacterium. Its description in RNAcentral is "partial 16S ribosomal RNA". It matches the Rfam family "Bacterial small subunit ribosomal RNA", at positions 338 to 795 of the family's 1533-position model. The record is from RNAcentral.